CGGUGUUCAACUGGCGUGUCCGCGGGACGUCCUGCCGGUGGGCUUAGCCCGCAAGGGCGGCCCAACUUCAAAUCCCAUCGCGGUGCUCUUCACUGAGUGUCGAGGUGGGCCGGCACGUUUACUUUGAACAAAUUAGAGUGCUUAAAGCAGGCUAAAACUUCGCCUGAAUACUGUGUGCAUGGAAUAAUGGAAUAGGACCUCGGUUCUAUUUUGUUGGUUUUCGGAACCCCGAGGUAAUGAUUAAUAGGAACGGAUGGGGGCAUUCGUAUUGCGACGUUAGAGGUGAAAUUCUUGGAUCGUCGCAAGACGGACAGAAGCGAAAGCAUUUGCCAAAAACGCUUUCAUUGAUCAAGAACGAAAGUUAGAGGUUCGAAGGCGAUCAGAUACCGCCCUAGUUCUAACCAUAAACGAUGCCAGCUAGCGAUCCGUCGACGUUCCUCCGAUGACUCGACGGGCAGCUUCCGGGAAACCAAAGCUUUUGGGUUCCGGGGGAAGUAUGGUUGCAAAGCUGAAACUUAAAGGAAUUGACGGAAGGGCACCACCAGGAGUGGAGCCUGCGGCUUAAUUUGACUCAACACGGGAAACCUCGCCAGGCCCGGACACCGGAAGGAUUGACAGAUUGAGAGCUCUUUCUUGAUUCGGUGGGUGGUGGUGCAUGGCCGUUCUUAGUUGGUGGAGCGAUUUGUCUGGUUAAUUCCGAUAACGAACGAGACUCUAGCCUGCUAACUAGGCGUAUUUUCGACAUCUCAAAGGUCCGUCGUCCCGGCCCUCGGGUCGUGGGCGUGCGCGAUUUUUACUGUCGGCGUACUAUCAAUUCUUCUUAGAGGGACAGGUGGCUUCUAGCCGCACGAGAUUGAGCAAUAACAGGUCUGUGAUG
This 877-nucleotide ribosomal RNA is filed under the name uncultured eukaryote. Its description in RNAcentral is "SSU rRNA". It matches the Rfam family "Eukaryotic small subunit ribosomal RNA", at positions 636 to 1469 of the family's 1831-position model. The record is from RNAcentral.